AUGGUAUGCUGGAAAUCUGGGCCCUUGGGUUCCCAAAAUAUUAAAUACUCUGCUUCUGACUUGCAGCAUAAUGCUGACCAAAUUGCUUCCAUUCCUGCCUCUGUUUCUCUAUCUGUAAAAUGGGAGAUAGUAGAGCAUGAUUCUCAAGACAUAGAUUCUAGAAUCAGACUGCCCUGAUUCAAAUAUUUGUUCCAACUUUUACACUGUGUUUGGAGGCAAUUACAUGAUCUCUCUUGAGCCUCAGUUUUCCUAUCCAUGAAAAGAGCAUACUAAUAGUACUUAUAAGAUUGUUGUGGGAAUUUGGGAAGAAAAUCUGCACAAAUUAUUAGCAUUCUGUACAAAUUAUUAGCAUGUAUUGUUUUAUAAGUAUCCAAUAAUGUUGGGAAAUAUUAUUAGAAUGGGAGGGGGAGGUAUUCUAUACUACAGAAUACUAUUCAGCAACAAAAGAGAAUUAACUAUUGAUACAAGCAACAAUAUAAAUGAAUUUCUAAAACUAGCCUGAGCAAAAGAAGUCAGAUGCAAAAGUACAAACUAAUUCUAUUUUUAUGAAACUCUAGAAAAGACUAGCCUAAUCUACAGUGGCAGAAAAACCAGGUAAGUGCUUAAGGCCUGGAGUAUGCGGUCUGUGAUGAUUAAUGCUUUGUGUCAACUUGACUGGGCCAAGGGAUGCCCAGAUAGCUGAUAAAACACUCUUUCAGAGUGUGUCUGUGAGGAUCUUUCCAGAAGACAUUAGCAUUUGAAUUGGUAGACUAAGUGAGCAAGAUCCCGCAAAAAGGCAGAGGAAGGGGGAAUUUGUUCUCUUUACCUGAGCUGGGAUAUCCUUCUUCUCCUGCCCUCCUCCUUUGGCGCUCCUGGCUCUUGGACAUCCAGAAUCGGAUGGAUUUAUACCAUCAGCUCCCCAUGUUCUCAAGCCCUUGGACUUGGGUUAAAUUACACCACUGGCUGUCCUAGGUCUCCAGUUUACAGAUGGAAGGUUAUGAGAGUUAUUGCCUCCGUAACUGCAUGAGUCAGUUCCUAUGAUGAAUUUCCUUUUAUGUCUAUCUGUAUGUAUCCUAUUGGUUCUGUUUCCCUGGAGAAUCCUGACUAAUAUGGGGUCUCACUGUAAAAGGGGCACAAUGGAAUUUGGGGACCAUGGAAGUGUUCUAUAUUCUGAUUGUGAGAAUAGUCACAUGGAUGGAUCCAUUUGUGGACACUCCCAGACCUGAAUACUUAAAAUCAAUGCUUCUUUCACAUGUAAAUUGUACUUCAGCAAAGUAGAUUUUAAAACUAAAAUAACAAAAAACUUUAAACAGUUGGGCUAGAUGAGUUCUAAGUCCAAUUCUCGGAGAUCCUGACAGGUAUGGCCCCUGUUCCAUCCUCCAAAUAGGACUUGCAGGCCAGGAGCCCUUUUUCUCCAUCCUCCCUUCCUCUGGGCCACCUCUGCACAUCUUGGUCCCAUUCCCUGCCCUCAGGUCAGCCAACUGCAGCUCUCGGCUGUUUCAGUAAACCAAGAUAAGGAUGCAGGCUGGAGCAGUAUGAGGCCUUAGACAUGAGUCGGAGACCCAGCUAUUAGCUCAUAAUGGCGAUGAAAAUGUUUGCAGCCCCUACUCACCAGUGGGCUGGGGGACCCAGUGACCCUUCUGGCUGCUAGAGUCUGCUGACCAUGAUUCACGAGCCAGCGUGGGAGGCAGCAGAGGAGUCAGCUGAUGGUGACAUUUCAGGAUCUGGCCUUCUUUUUCUGAUCAUUAGCAACUAUGUUGGGAAUAAGACAGGGCCCCGUUUAGCUGAUCAGAACUUCCAGGGCUAGAUAUGGAGAGAAGCUAAAAAGGAGAUGGGAAGGUACCAGCCUGUGCUAGGUGAUUUACACAAAUUAUUUUGCUUCCCACUGUGACAUUAUGGGUUUGAACUACUAACUGUAGUAAUCAUAAUAACAGCUAGCAUUAAUUGAGGAUUUACUUUGUGCCAGUCCCUUCCUUAAAGGACUUUAUAUUCAUUAUCUCAAGCUAACUUAUAUAACAAUUAUAUGGCAUAGAUAACAUCGUUAUCCUCAUUUUUCUGGUUAAAAAAUUGGGUCAGGUUUUGGGUCAGGGCACAGAGAGAGGGCACUUGCCCAUCUCACAGCUUUUAAGUGGCAGAGUUGGGACUUGAACCUACUUCAUCUGAUGCCAGAGCCUGAAGAACGCAGAUGCCUUGAUGUCCUAUCCUUCAGCACAUACAAAACAGAACAAGCAAACACAUUAGAAUGGACGUGGAAUGGAUACGAAAGACCCUAUCUACCCUGAGAGUCAACUUUGAGUGCAACUUUGAGUCAAAGACCACGGAGGGGAUGCAUGGAGUAUUAGCCUGGCUGGACCAGUCUAAGAUGCCCAGGUUGAAGACCUUAAAAACAUCCAUGGGAUUUGGCCAUUUGUAUUUAGCCAAACUCUUGGGCUUUGGUUCAGCAUUCUGUGAGUUUGAAAUCUACACCAAACCCUGUGCCAGAUGAAGGAACACAGAGAUGAAGAAUAUAAGGCUGUUGCCUUCAAGAAGAUCACAGAUAUGGCAAAGGUGGAGCUCCAGCAGGCACUGACCAUGUUCAGCAUUGAAUAGCAACCAAAAGCCAUCUACAAGGAACUGCUCCCCUAUGCCCAGACAGCCAAAGGAGAACUCACGAAGGCCCAGAAUGUCAGAGAUAAUUCUGAUUCUGGCAUAAGAAGCUGGAAGAUAAGAAGUCUUUGUUAGUUCCUCCUUCAUGGGUACAAUGAGGUAUUCAUGCUAUUCCCCUCGGGACUUGGGAAGUCUUUUAGGCCCAAGAAAGGUCUGUGCGUCAUCAUAAUUGUGUAAUAUGGCUGCCCUCUUUCCGCCCCACCCCUUGACAUAUCCUGGUCAGGCAAGUUAAAGUUCUGUUGAUGCGCUAACUGUUGUGGCCACCAUCAAUCACACUUCCUUCAGUGGUCUUUGAUAUGGCCUUCCAAAGAGCUGGAAAUCUGGGGACCACUUCCUUCCAUCGAUCUCACCCCCUAUUUUCUGCCACCAUGUAAAGGGAUUGAUUCCAUUUAAAGGCAUUGUGACGUGAGGACAAGGCACAGCCUCAGAAGUUUAACUGCCCUGAGUCUGAAUCACUUACCAGCCAUGAAGGCUUGGACAAUUUUCUUAACCUCAGAACCUCAGGAUUUUGUUUUGUCUUGUUUUUGUCCAAUGUGGAAAAUAAGACUUAUGGAACAGCUUCAUAGAGUUGAUAUCCAGAUUAAAUGGAACAGCAUAGGUAAAAUCCCCAGCACUUUACUGACACCUAGCCGAUGCCCGAUAAAUAUAGUUGCCAUUUAUCGGUUCUAGGCAGGUUUGGUGAAAUAAAUGGACAUAUCGAGCCCCACGUUGGGCUCUGUGCUGACAACAUGGAGCCUGCUUGAUAUUCUGUCUCCCUCCCUUGGUAUUCUGCCCCUCCCCCACUUGCCCUCUAUAUCUCUAUCAAAAUAAAUAAAAAUAAAACUUAAAAAAAAGAAAGAAAGAAAGAGAAAGAAAGAAAGAAAGAAAGAAAGAAAGAAAGAAAGAAAGAAAGAAAGAAAGAAAGAAAGAAAGACGUGGUCCCCACCUUUGAGAAACUUAGGGUCUUUUCUCCAUAUUUAUGACUCUCUUCUGUUUUGUCCCCCUCCCUGUGUUUAUAUUAUUUUUGUUUCCCUUCCCUUAUGUUCAUCUGUUUUGUCUCUUAAAGUCCUCAUAUGAGUGAAGUCAUAUGAUUUUUGUCUUUCUCUGACUGACUAAUUUCACUUAGCAUAAUACCCUCCAGUUCCAUCCAUGUAGUUGCAAAUGGCAAGGUUUCAUUCUUUUUGAUUGGGCUAAAUAGGUAAGGGGCGCUAAGGAAUCUACUCCUGAAAUCAUUGUUGUACUGUAUGCUAACUAAUCUGGAUGUAAAUUUUUAAAAAUAAAAAAUUAAAUUAAAAAAAAAGAAACUUAGGGUCUUUAUCAUAAAGAUAGGUGGUUCCUUAUCAUAAAUAUGAGUGAUUAGGCCCACCUGUGUGAAACAUCCCCAUCUGUAAAUUGGGCAAUAAGAUCUACCUCAUAUGAUGUAUAGACACUGUUAACCCCCACUCUACCAAUAAGAUGAUGAAGCACGGAAAGACUUAGUGACUCAUCUGUGGUCAUGGAGCUGGGAAGCAGUAGAGCUAGGAUUUGAACCUGCUCUCUGGCUCCAGAGCCCAUGUUCCUGCCACUCCUUUCUGCUACCUGCAUCAUCUUACUGAGCUAAGUGAAUGGGAGGAGUCACCAGGAAGCAGAAGGUGGUGGAAAGAGAGUUGGAUUUGCAGUCAGGAAGGUUGGAAUCUGACUUCACAAUGAUGGUGGCUGUGGGCAGAUCACUCCAUUUCCUUAUUAGCAAAUGACACGAAUAACAACUUAUGCCUGAGAGUUCCUACAUAGAUCUCAUUAGACCCAUUGGUUCAACACAUGGUUGUCAGAAGCCUGCAGUGUGUCAGACAUUGUCCUAGGUGCUGGGGAUGAAGCUUGAGCAAGAGACAGGAGCUGGUCUCAGAUCAGGUCCCUGCCCUGCUGUCUAAUGAGAGAAUAAGAUCAUGUGCUUGGAAGUGCAUCCUAAACACAAGUUUGUCGUUAGUGUUAAGCAAGUGGAAAGUGCUUGCAGCUCUUCUGAUUAAAACAAAACAACAAUAACCCUAACAGGUACAAUGUAUGAAGCAUUUUCUCUGCACCAGGCACUAUGUUAAGCUCUUUGUGUGGUUCUUCUACAGCAGUCCCCUCAAAAUAUCGCAUGAAGCCAUCAUAAUUGGUUCCCAUUUUACACAGGAAAAAACUGAGGCCUGGAGAGGUUAUUAAUUAACAGCCAGUUAAGCACUGGAGCUGGUUUUCAAACAUAGGUGGUCUGCCUUCAAAGCCUCUAGUCCUAAAUAUCACAUCCGGUGGCUUCCACUUCAUGUUACUGCUGCUUCUGGUUAUUUGUAUCUCAGGAAUAUAUUUAGAAACAUCUGGAAGUCUUGUAAAGGGCUUUAUCGUUAAGUAUGGGGAAUUUAGCCCACAAGCCUCCAUCGUCUAGUCAAGCCUGGCCUUGAUCCUGCACCUACUUUAGACAUAAAGACAGAUGCUCAGCUGAAGGGCUGGGGAGCAGAGCGCCAUGGCAUUCACUGGCGAGAUCUCCCAGCCUUGGCAGUUACCUCACCACUGGCCUUUACAUCACUGCUGGCCAAGCCAAGUGCCUGGGUUGUGUCCUGAAUCUAAAAGCCUGACCAUAGGCUUUUAUGAAGCUGUAUCUUGCUGAGAACUUCCUGGGCAUUACCUCACUUGUCCUCUAUCAACUUCCCCAGAAACUGUGGCUGGCAGCCUCAUCCUAGAUUUAUAGAUUGUGGAGCAGUAGGCUCCAGAAACAGGAAGUGACCUUUUCAAGGUGUCCUCGUACAGGUGGGUACAGGGAUGUGACUCUUAAUCCCCCAAAUGUCAUCCACAGCAUUAAUGGCCAGAGACCUCAGAUCACACCACUAGGGGCAGCAGAGGUCAGACAGGAAGUCUGUGGAAGCCUCUUAAUCCAAGACCCUCACCCUGCAUGAUGUUGCAUUCAUUCUUCUACUGCACAGAUAUUUAUUGAUCACCUACUAUGUGCCUCGGUAGGCACUAGGGAUAGCAAGGUGGAUAAGGCCGAUGCAAUUCCUGCUCUUACAGAACUCAAAAGGCCAGCAAGGAAUAGACCUGGUUAACGAGUAAUUACAACUGUGAUGAAUAUUAUGAAGAGAACAGCACAGAGGGCUCUGGGACCACACAUUAGGUGACAUACCUUGUGCAGGUCAUCAGAAGAGACCAUCGUCGAAAGUGGUGUUUGUGGUGACACAUAGGAUGAGGGUGAUUGUUUCAGGUGAAGAGGAGAGAGAACUCCAGGUACUUGAAUAUGCAUCUUGAGAGAGAUUCAUGGAAGAAACUGAAACAUAAUAAAAGUGGCAAGAAAUGUGACUGGUGUGGAGGUACAGGCAAGAUGAGGAAGGCUUUGAGGUCUGUAUUAGUUUCUGUGCUGCCUAACAAAUUACCACACAUUUAUCAGCUUAACACAACACCUUAUUACAUCACAGUUUAUGUGGGUCAGGAGGUACCAGAACCUCCUGAUUCUCAGAACCAGGUUCUGCAGAACUUAUCAGCAAACCCUAAACAAAUACACUAUUUAGGUGUGGGUUAACAUGUUAACCAGACUCACAGCAUUAUUGUAUAAAACUGAAAUGAGAACCAUAUAGUUAACACUUAGAUCGGAACACCCUUGAAGACAUCAUCAGUUCAUCUUCUUCCAUCAAAAUAUGUAGGAAAUUUAAUUGCAGUCAUAAUGCCAAUCUAUUGGGGUGGCUCAGUCGCUUUAGCAUCCAGCUUCGGCUCAGGUCACCAUCUCAUGGUUCAUGAGUUCAAGCCCUGUGUCGGGCUCUAUGCUGACAGCUCAGACCCUGGAGCCUGCUUCGGAUUUUGUGUUUCCCUCUCUCUCUCUCUGACCCUCCCCUUAUCAUGAUCGCUCUCGCUCUCUCUCUCUCUCUCUCUCUGUCUCAAAAAUAAACAUUAAAAAAUUAAAAAUAAAAAUAAAAGAACUCUAAUCUAUUAAUUCAUAAUGAGAAAAUCCACUGAAAUGAUAAAAAUCCUGGAAUCUUCAUGUCUAGCCCAUCCUCUGAAACCAGAAACACAUGGGAAGCCAUAGCAUACUCAGGUGGCUGUUUAGCCAAGUGUCUUAGAAGUAUAUGAGUGAAGGGAAUUAGUUCGAUAGAACCAGACUAAGACAUCCUGUUGCAGCCACUUUGCAGUAGAUUCAAUUGGGCCAAUGGGAUGGAACAUUUUGGAGGUAUACCCUCAGUAAAUGCCAGCCACUAGGACAAUGACUAUUCUUUGUCUUAAUAUCACUGUCUAAGGACAUUAAGUUCCCUUAUGGUGCUAAUGUGCUGUGAUUCCAAAGGCAACUAUUACUUAUCCUGGAUAUAGUCCAGAGCCUGAGCACAUUGCCCUCCUGAACAAUAUAAGCCUUUACCAUCAUCAUCAUCAUCAUCAUCAUCAUCAUCAUCAUCAUCAUCAGUAGUAUGGAGAAUGAUCAUUAUCUAGGGACUGAUGCCUACAUUUAGGACACACUACUAAGUGCUACUGAUGUUAUCCUAUUGAAUCCUCACAAUAACCCUACCGGGUAGUUGUUCUCACUCUCAACAUGCAGAUGAAUAAAGAAGAAACUGAGGUUCAAAUAGGUAUUGUUGUUUGCGCAAAGUCACCAAGCAAAUGGAAGAGAAGGAAUUCCAACUGCAUUCAGCACACUGCUGUUCUGCCACACAGAUAAAGUGGAUCAUGUUUUGCAUGCCUGCUGAGCAAAUAAAUGCAUGCUGUAAAUUCAGCCUCUUCCCUCCCAUUCAAGAAAGUAGAUUGUAUUGAAAGUCUGUGAGAAUGAUGUCACUAUAGGGGUAACCUUGAACCUACUUUAAUUUAUUAAAAGAGGAAGUGUUUGUACAAACAUUGGUAAUCUUGCUAAUAUGAUGACUGCUGGCUUAAAAGUUCCCAAACACCUGGUAGUCCCAAUAGGUGUAGUCCCCAAUAAUUCUAGAGUGUCCCUCAAAGAUACCUCACAUCUACCCAUAAAACAGCAUAUUAACUGUUAUCAUAUGUGGGUAUCAGUUACCUUUUUCUCUCUGUCUCUGCCUUCUACUUGUUUAUGUCCAUCAUCCACAUGGCGACCUGGAGUCAAUUUCCUACUGAACCAGGACCAUGCUUUUGUAUCAAGGUCAUGUAUCAGCACUUUCAUUUAUUCAUUCAUUCAUUCAUUCAUUCAUCCAUUCAACUAAUAUUUACUGAUGCUCUACUUUGUGCCAGGCACUGUUCUCAGACCUGGGGAAAGAAUGGUGAAUAAGACUAAUAGGUCCCUGCUCUUGUGUAGCUGAUGUUCUAGUUUGGGGUAUGAAAAAUAAACAAUUAACAAAUGGGUAGCUGAAUAAAUAAGAAAAUUUUAGAUAAAUAUAAGAAAUAUAAUGAAAAUAAGACUGCCAGGGUAGAGAAGCACUAGAUAGGAUGGCAUAGAAGACACUGUUGAAGCCCACCCCACAUCUUCUUGGCCCACCUUUGACUUCACUAGCAACUGCAAUGGUCAACUACCAGGCACACAAACAUUGUCCCACAUGCCUCUCUCCAUCUCUCCUUCUGAGGGUGUUUUCUGGUGCCAUAGGUGUGUGCCCCAGCCACACAUAGAGAUUGACUGUCCCCAGGCCAACCUUUAACCAAGGAGGGCAAUAGCCAGUGGAUAAAUACUCCAACUUCUCCAUCUCU
Long non-coding RNA from Acinonyx jubatus (cheetah), 8226 nucleotides. RefSeq lists it as uncharacterized. The transcript has 3 exons. The record is from RefSeq and is a predicted model, not a curated record. Lineage: Eukaryota; Metazoa; Chordata; Mammalia; Carnivora; Felidae.